Molecule: ribosomal RNA, 558 nt
Filed under: uncultured bacterium
Lineage: Bacteria
Description: bacterial SSU rRNA
Rfam family: Bacterial small subunit ribosomal RNA
Source: RNAcentral
CCUACGGGAGGCAGCAGUGGGGAAUCUUGCACAAUGGAGGAAACUCUGAUGCAGCGAUGCCGCGUGAGUGAAGAAGGCCUUUGGGUUGUAAAGCUCUUUCGUCGGGGAAGAAAAUGACUGUACCCGAAUAAGAAGGUCCGGCUAACUUCGUGCCAGCAGCCGCGGUAAUACGAAGGGACCUAGCGUAGUUCGGAAUUACUGGGCUUAAAGAGUUCGUAGGUGGUUGAAAUAGUUGGUGGUGAAAUCCCAGAGCUUAACUCUGGAACUGCCAUCAAAACUUUUCAGCUAGAGUAUGAUAGAGGAAAGCAGAAUUUCUAGUGUAGAGGUGAAAUUCGUAGAUAUUAGAAAGAAUACCAAUUGCGAAGGCAGCUUUCUGGAUCAUUACUGACACUGAGGAACGAAAGCAUGGGUAGCGAAGAGGAUUAGAUACCCUCGUAGUCCAUGCCGUAAACGAUGUGUGUUAGACGUUGGAAAUUUAUUUUCAGUGUCGCAGCGAAAGUGAUAAACACACCGCCUGGGGAGUACGACCGCAAGGUUAAAACUCAAAGGAAUUGACGG